RNAcentral lists this ribosomal RNA (490 nucleotides) under uncultured bacterium. RNAcentral describes it as "bacterial SSU rRNA". It matches the Rfam family "Bacterial small subunit ribosomal RNA", at positions 28 to 521 of the family's 1533-position model. The record is from RNAcentral.
GAUGAACGCUAGCGGCAGGCCUAAUACAUGCAAGUCGAACGCUCAGUAGCAAUACUGGGAGUGGCGCACGGGUGCGUAACGCGUACACAAUCUACCUCUAAGCGGGGGACACCUCCUGGAAACGGGGAUUAAUACCGCAUAAUAUGCCGAAGUCGCAUGACUUUGGUAUUAAAGCAGCAAUGCACUUAGAGAUGAGUGUGCGUCCCAUUAGGUAGUUGGUGAGGUAACGGCUCACCAAGCCUAUGAUGGGUAGCCGGUCUGAGAGGAUGGUCGGCCACACGGGCACUGAGACACGGGCCCGACUCCUACGGGAGGCAGCAGUAAGGAAUAUUGGUCAAUGGUGGAAACACUGAACCAGCCAUGCCGCGUGGAGGAAUAAGGUCCUACGGAUUGUAAACUCCUUUUGACGAGGAAGAAAAUGUUAGAUUUAUCUAAUUUUGACGGUACUCGUAGAAUAAGCACCGGCUAACUCCGUGCCAGCAGCCGCGGU